GAUGAACGCUGGCGGCGUGCCUAAUACAUGCAAGUCGAGCGAAUGGAUUAAGAGCUUGCUCUUAUGAAGUUAGCGGCGGACGGGUGAGUAACACGUGGGUAACCUGCCCAUAAGACUGGGAUAACUCCGGGAAACCGGGGCUAAUACCGGAUAACAUUUUGAACCGCAUGGUUCGAAAUUGAAAGGCGGCUUCGGCUGUCACUUAUGGAUGGACCCGCGUCGCAUUAGCUAGUUGGUGAGGUAACGGCUCACCAAGGCAACGAUGCGUGGCCGACCUGGGAGGGUGAUCGGCCACACUGGGACUGAGACACGGCCCAGACUCCUACGGGAGGCAGCAGUAGGGAAUCUUCCGCAAUGGACGAAAGUCUGACGGAGCAACGCCGCGUGAGUGAUGAAGGCUUUCGGGUCGUAAAACUCUGUUGUUAGGGAAAAACAAGUGCUAGUUGAAUAAGCUGGCACCUUGACGGUACCUAACCAGAAAGCCACGGCUAACUACGUGCCAGCCGCCGCUGUAA
RNAcentral lists this ribosomal RNA (515 nucleotides) under uncultured bacterium. RNAcentral's name for it is "partial 16S ribosomal RNA". It matches the Rfam family "Bacterial small subunit ribosomal RNA", at positions 28 to 523 of the family's 1533-position model. The record is from RNAcentral.